This 460-nucleotide ribosomal RNA is filed under the name uncultured bacterium. RNAcentral describes it as "partial 16S ribosomal RNA". It matches the Rfam family "Bacterial small subunit ribosomal RNA", at positions 338 to 795 of the family's 1533-position model. The record is from RNAcentral.
CCUACGGGAGGCAGCAGUGAGGAAUAUUGGUCAAUGGGCGGAAGCCUGAACCAGCCAAGUAGCGUGCAGGAUGACGGCCCUACGGGUUGUAAACUGCUUUUAUAUGGGUAUAACGCGCCUUACGUGUAGGGCUUUGCAUGUACCGUAUGAAUAAGGACCGGCUAAUUCCGUGCCAGCAGCCGCGGUAAUACGGAAGGUCCGGGCGUUAUCCGGAUUUAUUGGGUUUAAAGGGAGCGUAGGCGGGAUUUCAAGCGUGCUGUGAAAGGUCCGGGCUCAACCCGGGCCUUGCAGAGCGAACUGGCGUGCGUGAGUCCGGGAGAGGCAGGCGGAAUUCGUCGUGUAGCGGUGAAAUGCUUAGAUAUGACGAAGAACCCCGAUUGCGAAGGCAGCUUGCUGGAGCGGAACUGACGCUGAUGCUCGAAAGCGCGGGUAUCGAACAGGAUUAGAUACCCCAGUAGUC